GCUAUAUCUGUCCAAUCACAGUGAAGCACCAAGGUCCUACCCUUUCCGUAAUGGUUUCUUGCUUUUGUGUUCUGGAAAAUGUUUGCGUGCUCAGGAUUUGUUUGUGCGUUUUCACUAAUGUUUUUGUGACUUGCACUUCAGGGCCACCGUAGGGUAACAGAGGAAAGGCAACUAUUUAACAGCUGCUGUUUGAUCAUCGUAUGUUAUACUUUCUAGAGGAAGUUUAAACUAUCCUUGUUCAUAAGAGUAGGCCAACGAAACAAGUAUAUCUGAUAGCAAGGAUAUGCAACAAAUCCAAACAGAACAAUGCAGAGGUGAUGCCCUCCUGUUCUAGGUCCCGACUCACAAUGUCCAAUUUGAUCAGUGGAGGUGAUGCCCGACUCCAUCUGUCCAUUUUUAUCAUCCGGACAUUCCGUCCCACAAACGCCCCUCUCCGAUGACCUCCCCCUCUCGGGUCUGUAGACCUCUCUGCACUGCAGUACCUACAUGCAUGCAUCUGCAGGACCCUCC
RNAcentral lists this long non-coding RNA (510 nucleotides) under Neogobius melanostomus (round goby). RNAcentral's name for it is "lncRNA (ENSNMLG00000011906.1)". The record is from RNAcentral. Lineage: Eukaryota; Metazoa; Chordata; Actinopteri; Gobiiformes; Gobiidae.